Long non-coding RNA from Cuculus canorus (common cuckoo), 1067 nucleotides. RefSeq lists it as uncharacterized. The record is from RefSeq and is a predicted model, not a curated record. Lineage: Eukaryota; Metazoa; Chordata; Aves; Cuculiformes; Cuculidae. The transcript is spliced from 7 exons.
AUGAACUGUUCUCUGGUUCUGUCCGUAAUCUCUUGUUAAGUAAAUGCUUAUCGUCUGUAUUUCCAACCCACUUUCAAGGAAAAUUUUUCCAUCCUAGGCAAGAGCAUCAAAAUCCAAAAGAAGGGCGAGGAAGGUACUGUGAAAUCUGAUUUCUGUCCUUUCAAAAUAAUAGGAGAAAAAGGAGAGUAAUUCAGGUUAAUUAUUAGCUUUUGCAAUUUUCUUGUAGUUUCUGGCCUGUUUUUCCUUCCGGUGCAGAGAGCAGGUCAUGGGGGGGAGACAGUUCCCCGUUUUUCCCCCCGUGUAUUUCUCAGUGCACUUACUUUUCUCUCUUCAGCAAAGCAAGCGGUGUGACGGCUAUCACCCCUCAUCACGGCUCACAAUGUGAAUUUGGUGAUGUGAUUUGUGCUAAGCCUUCUCUUCUUCAAGUUGAACAACCCCAACUCUCUCAGCCUGUCCUUGUUGAAGCUCCAGCUCUUGGAUCAUCUCUGUGGACUCCUCUGGACUUGCUCCAACAGCUCCAUGUCCUUCCUGUGCUGAGGACUCCAGAACUGAACAGAAGCUCCAGAGGGAACCGAAGAACCCAACAGCAGUUUGCAUUUUUGGAGCUGGAGAAUAAAAGCUUCGGUCGGGAGUUUUUGGAACGUAGAGGUCGAACAAGGAAGAGGAGUUCAGAGCUGCUCCAGCAGAGAUGAUGUUUACUUUCAAGAAUAUGCUUGGAACUCAUAAAUAUUUGCCCAAAAUAUGGCAUUCUGGAUUUCAUUUGCCGAACACUGUUUUUUCCUCUUCAUCGAUCCUUGGGUGCUCAUUAGCAUGGAGGAUCUGUCGUAUUAUGAGCUGAACACUGCUGCAAGAAAAGGCAAUUAAUUAAAGCAGGAUCCUUGUGCUGCCAGCAGAUCUUCUCCAUUUUUCAUACAAGAAAAGGCAAGGUGCACAGUAAGUGCAAAUGCAAAUUCUUGAUGUUUGCGACAAAACCGGUCAACUCACUCAGCUGUCGAGAAAUUGUCUGUAUUGAGUGAGCAGACGUAGAAGAAAUGGCCAAAGCCGAACUCUGGAGUCGGGACAGACAG